GAUGAAGAACGUAGCGAAAUGCGAUAAGUAAUGUGAAUUGCAGAAUUCAGUGAAUCAUCGAAUCUUUGAACGCAUAUUGCGCCCAUUAGUAUUCUAGUGGGCAUGCCUGUUCGAGCGUCAUUAAGUCCACUUAAGCCCUGCUUAGUGUUGGGAGACUGCUCCAGCGGUGCUACCCUGUAGCUACCCUGCAGCUCCUCAAAGACAGCGGCGGAGUUGUGGUAUCCUCUGAGCUUAGUAACUUGUUCUAGCUUUCGAGUACACCACUUCCCCUGCCGUAAAACCCUUAAUUUUUAAUGGUUGACCUCGGAUCAGGUAGGAAUACCCGCUGAACUUAAGCAUAUCAAUAAGCGGAGGA
Molecule: unclassified non-coding RNA, 355 nt
Filed under: soil metagenome
Description: partial contains 5.8S ribosomal RNA, internal transcribed spacer 2, and large subunit ribosomal RNA
Rfam family: 5.8S ribosomal RNA (bases 1-120)
Source: RNAcentral